RNAcentral lists this ribosomal RNA (200 nucleotides) under uncultured bacterium. Its description in RNAcentral is "partial 16S ribosomal RNA". It matches the Rfam family "Bacterial small subunit ribosomal RNA", at positions 524 to 723 of the family's 1533-position model. The record is from RNAcentral.
UACGUAGGGUGCAAGCGUUGUCCGGAUUUAUUGGGUUUAAAGGGUGCGCAGGCGGCCUAUUAAGUUCGUGGUGAAAUCGUUCGGCUUAACCGAAUACCCGCCAUGGAUACUGGUAGGCUUGAGUAUGUCUGAGGGAGCUGGAAUGCGUGGUGUAGCGGUGAAAUGCAUAGAUAUCACGCAGAACACCUAUUGCGAAGGCA